GAAUCAUUCUCGCUGAGUCUCCAGUUUUGGAGAGCGGGGGAACCAUUACAAGGCGAAGGGCCGAUAUGAGGCGAACCGCUAGUAUUUGAUUUCUUUCCAAGGGUCUUAGGGGUGAAUUUAACGGUGAGCGCCAUGAGCGUUCAGCCAGAGAUAGGGCGGCUCUCUUUCGCCCAAACCCGACAGCUAACCUCGCAAGCGUAUGAAGAGAGGCAAU
RNAcentral lists this small RNA (214 nucleotides) under Paenibacillus pini. Its description in RNAcentral is "c-di-AMP sequence". It matches the Rfam family "c-di-AMP riboswitch aptamer (ydaO/yuaA leader)". Rfam says of the family: This family represents a conserved RNA structure found upstream of the ydaO and yuaA genes in Bacillus subtilis and related genes in other bacteria. The ydaO/yuaA element is thought to act as a genetic "off" switch for the ydaO and yuaA genes in its native state. It is believed that the element may be triggered during osmotic shock leading to activation of ydaO, a predicted amino acid transporter gene, and members of the yuaA-yubG operon which code for KtrA and KtrB K+ transporters. Lineage: Bacteria; Bacillati; Bacillota; Bacilli; Caryophanales; Paenibacillaceae. The record is from RNAcentral. RNAcentral also lists the same sequence under 1 other name.